GACUCCCAACCACCCUUAAUGA
This 22-nucleotide transfer RNA is filed under the name Potamotrygon cf. schroederi AUM 54482. RNAcentral's name for it is "partial tRNA-Lys". Lineage: Eukaryota; Metazoa; Chordata; Chondrichthyes; Myliobatiformes; Potamotrygonidae. The record is from RNAcentral.